RNAcentral lists this transfer RNA (97 nucleotides) under Candidatus Peribacteraceae bacterium. Its description in RNAcentral is "tRNA-OTHER". The record is from RNAcentral. Lineage: Bacteria; Candidatus Peregrinibacteriota; Candidatus Peribacteria; Candidatus Peribacterales.
CGGGGCGUAGCUCAGUUGGUAGAGCGCCACUGUGCACCGGGGAGGCCGCUGGUUCAAGCUUGUCGUGAGCACACGAAGGAUCCAGUCGCUCCGACCA